CAGCCGCGGUAAUACGUAGGGGGCGAGCGUUAUCCGGAGUUACUGGGCGUAAAGCGCACGCAGGCGGUCGGGCAAGUUUGGGGUGACAGCUCCCGGCUCAACUGGGAGAGCGCCUUGAAGACUGCGCGACUUGAGGGCCACAGAGGGACACGGAAUUCCGGGUGGAGCGGUGAAAUGCGUAGAUAUCCGGAGGAACACCAAAGGCGAAGGCAGUGUCCUGGGUGGUACCUGACGCUCAGGUGCGAAAGCUAGGGGAGCGAACGGGAUUAGAUACCCCGGUAGUCCUAGCUGUAAACGAUGACCACCAGGUGUGCGGGGUAUCGACCCCCUGCGUGCCGACGUUAACGCAUUAA
Molecule: ribosomal RNA, 353 nt
Filed under: uncultured soil bacterium
Lineage: Bacteria
Description: bacterial SSU rRNA
Rfam family: Bacterial small subunit ribosomal RNA
Source: RNAcentral